AAGCCCCCUCCCUGUAUCUUUCCUGUUGUUGUUGUUGUUGUUAUCCCCAGUCUGUCGAUGUGAACAAGAGGAGAAGGGAGAGAAAUGUGAAGAUGAGAGGAGGUGGAACAAUGAAUUUAUAGCGGAAUGCCAUCCUGCAAUGGCAAUUUCAACAAUUCGUCACUGCAGGCUGCCUCUUAAAGGGAGAGCUUCAAAACCACCACUCCCACACUUCCUUCUCAUUUAAUCAGACAGAAGGAGAAACUUGAGGGGAGGCGGAAAGGGGGAGGGGGGGCGGCUUCGAGGGGAGGAGAAAAGCAGCGAGAGUGAGAGGGAAGCAGGAGAGGGAAAGAGCCGGAGGAAGCCGGGCCACGGCAGAGAGAGACCGGCAGGAGAAAGAUGUUGGGGCAUUAACCUGGAGAAUAAACUGGAAUGGGGUCCUCACCUUCCAACAACUGCUGCAAGAAAUGGACUCACAUAAGCCAUAACACAAGUGAAUAAUUGUGACCAUUGAACCUACCAUGAAUUUUGUUUAAAAACACAUGUUGGGUGGAGGCAGUGCUCUGCAGGAAGUAUCACAUGUUAGGAGAGUAAGCACCAGACCCUUCUCCUUUUUUAUUUUCUGAACAGCAGCAAGAUUAUCAGAGGAAGGGUAAAAUGUUAAACUUUCCUUGUAAAAAAAAAAUGACACUUGUUAUAAAAAUACAUUUUAAGGGUGCAAGAUAUGCAUGUGAUGUAUUCUACAGCUGUUCCUUCAGAGGAGUAGAGGACCUGAAAAACUCGCGAGUGUAGUUUAUAUGAGGAGCAGCAGACAUUUAAUUAAUUGCAGUCCUAGAAUUUUACAGCCAAUAUGUGGUCUCUGAACAUCUCUGCUCUAGUUAGCAGAACAUCUGUAGUAGAAAAACAGAGCUCAAAUAAGUCUGCAUUCUCUUGUACCCCUCCAAACCUUACCACUUUUUGUCAUUAUUUCUUUAAAUGUUUUUCCAAAGAUGUGUAUGUUCAGCUUCCUCCUGUCCUCCCAGCCCUUCUUUUGCACAUUGCCUGGAUAUAGAGCCUAUAUUCUGAAAUUCUGGGGCAAUUAUAAUUAAAAAAAGUUUCAAUUUUUUAAAAAAAAUUAUUUUCUUUUUCAGUCAAGUUCUCAGUUGCUGCAAAUUGGGAAGGUUCCACAUGGGCAAAUUGUUAGAGGCACAGCUUUAUGAAUUUACACAUCUAUAAAUGAUAUUCCAGUACUGGAGGUGGAAUAUCUUUUUCCAUGUCAUCUGAGGCAUAAACCAGAAAAUGUACUUCCCUAGACUUCAAAGUCGAAACUGUAAGAGUGAUUAAAGAGAAAUUUAAAACAAACAUUCUCUUGCCAGAUCUCACCUGGCAUUAAUACACACGCUCCACCACUUCAGAGAUGGAGUUCUGGUUGCCGUGAGCUCGGAUUUUUCCAUCUCAGUCCUGGUUGCCCUGAAACUGGGGGAGGAAGGACUUUGCAGGUCCUGUGAGGAAGGAGGGGAAUGCUCUCAGGUGGCACCAGUGCCUGGCCCUGAGCUUCAUCUGGCUUAUCCUCACUCCAAAGAGAAAUCUUUGCCUUGAAAGGGAAAGGUGAGAACCUAGAGCUUGCUCUCCCAACGUUAAUCCCCAAACAGGACCAUUCUGAGAGCUCUUGCUGUCUAAGAGGGCUUGUAGGUGCUCCCAGGGUGCUUCUGGGGUAGGAUCAUGGUCCUGCUCUUGGAGGGAUUCUCCUGUUACCUCUGCUGGCUGUGCUUUGGUUUGCAGAGAGGGGUCACACGGGAUUCCUUUGGGGCGAAACUCAACCAGGAGUAUGUUCCCAUGGGCACACAGGGCACAGGAACAGAGAGAGCUAGACCAAAUAAACCCUCCUAAAGGGGUGCUGAGUGGGUGUCACCUCCUGAGCCAGCUGUUCCACGUCCAGAUCUCCCAUCCAACUGCACCCUAGAGCAGCCAGUCCUGCUACUUUAGAGGAACAUCAGGCUGCAGUGUCAGCUGAGCCCUGCACAACAUCCCUUUUCAGAGGUUUUAGACACUGUGCAGGCUGAGAUGUUCCAUCUGUAAGACAGGGAUGCGGCUUUUGGAAUAUAUUUUCCCAUUUCUAGCAGUGGAAAUCAUGCAUUUAUGAUUAGCACAGACAUGUUAAUGAUCAGCACAUACAUUUAAUAUUUAGCACCUAUCUUGCAGCACACUCACUUCCCUCAGAAGGGCUGGGAGGUCCUCUGUGUUUGUGUGUGACAUUUAAAUGCUAUUUUAGUCUUUAUUUAAGGGCUUAAAUGGGUCUCAAAUGAUGCAUUAGGCUCAGUCUGGCCUUGGGCGUAAGGGCGCGAUUCACCCCGAAAGAAAAGCCCAAACACAAGUCUCAUCACAGCUGCAAUAUUCAUUUCUGGAAAGCACCCAGCAGGUCUUAUCCAAGCCACUACAGACAGGCAGUUUGAGUUUUUCCAGUUCCUAAUGAUUACACAGUAUCCUGGAGUCAGUUGGACAACUUCCACCGAGAGUGAAACUCUUUGUAUUUAAUAUCCCCCGAAAAUAAAAGUGGUAUAAGAGAA
Long non-coding RNA from Parus major (Great Tit), 2525 nucleotides. RefSeq lists it as uncharacterized. The record is from RefSeq and is a predicted model, not a curated record. The transcript is spliced from 2 exons. NCBI's taxonomy places the organism in Eukaryota, Metazoa, Chordata, Aves, Passeriformes, Paridae.